CCACCAUGUAUCUGGGAAUUGCCGACAGGAUGCAGAAGGAGAUCACCGCCCUGGCACCCAGCUCCAUGAAGAUCAAGAUCAUCAUGCCCCCAGAGUGCAAGUACUCAGUGUGGAUUGGUGGCUCCAUCCUGGCCUCACUGUCCACCUUCCAGCAGAUGUGGAUUAGCAAGCAGGAGUAUGAUGAGUUGGGCCCCUCCGUCGUCCACCACAAAUGCUUCUAAAUGGACUGUGAACAGAUGUGUAGCAUUUGCUGCAUGGGUUAAUUCAGAAGUAUAAAUUUGCCCUUGGCAAAUGCAUACACCUCAUGCUACCCUCACAAAACUGGAAUAGCCUUCACAAAGAAAUUGUCCUUGAAGGUUGUGUCUGAUAUAAGCACUGGAUUGUAGAACUUGUUGCUGAUUUUGACCUUGUAUUCAAGUUAACUGUUCCCCUUGGUAUUAAUGUG
This 445-nucleotide long non-coding RNA is filed under the name Homo sapiens (human). RNAcentral describes it as "non-protein coding lnc-MRPS22-5:1". Lineage: Eukaryota; Metazoa; Chordata; Mammalia; Primates; Hominidae. The record is from RNAcentral.